This 246-nucleotide ribosomal RNA is filed under the name Triticum aestivum (bread wheat). RNAcentral's name for it is "partial small subunit ribosomal RNA". The record is from RNAcentral. Lineage: Eukaryota; Viridiplantae; Streptophyta; Magnoliopsida; Poales; Poaceae.
AUGGCGGACAUAGCGAUGCUGGUGGCCGACGAGGCGUUCGAGAAGAGGCUGCAGCGAGGGGCGCCCUUCGCCGGCGCCGGCGAGGAGGCGUCCAAGGGACGGGAGAACUUCGGGGCCGUGACCAAGGUGUGGGGCUCCUGGGCGUCGGGGGUCAAGGUGAGCGUCGCGCUCCUCGUCAAGGCCGACGUGGCCGAGCCCAGGAGCCCGGUCGCCCGGGCAGCCUUCGACGGCUUCUUCUCUGCUUGA